RNAcentral lists this ribosomal RNA (137 nucleotides) under uncultured bacterium. RNAcentral describes it as "partial 16S ribosomal RNA". It matches the Rfam family "Bacterial small subunit ribosomal RNA", at positions 355 to 509 of the family's 1533-position model. The record is from RNAcentral.
UGGGGGAUAUUGCACAAUGGGGGGAACCCGUGAUGCAGCGACGCCGCGUGGGUGAAGAAGCGCCUCGGCGCGUAAAGCCCUGUCAGCAGGGAAGAAAUGACGGUACCUGAAGAAGAAGCCCCGGCUAACUACGUGCC